UGGCGGACGGGUGAGUAACGCGUGGGUAACCUGCCCCAUACAGGGGAAUAACAGUUAGAAAUGACUGCUAAUACCGCAUAAGACCACAGCACCGCAUGGUGCAGGGGUAAAAACUCCGGUGGUAUGAGAUGGACCCGCGUCUGAUUAGCUGGUUGGUGGGGUAACGGCCUACCGAGGCGACGAUCAGUAGCCGACCUGAGAGGGUGACCGGCCACAUUGGGACUGAGACACGGUCCAA
RNAcentral lists this ribosomal RNA (238 nucleotides) under uncultured bacterium. RNAcentral's name for it is "partial 16S ribosomal RNA". It matches the Rfam family "Bacterial small subunit ribosomal RNA", at positions 96 to 334 of the family's 1533-position model. The record is from RNAcentral.